CAUGUGGGGUGAGCAGAGGGGAUCCUAAAGAGGACUGCUCAGUCGCAAUAGUAGCCGCUGAAUUGCGCCCCUGCUCAGUCCAGGUGCUAGACGACCAUCUAACUACCACCGCCUAUGUGCAGAUUCGUGGCUAGGGACUGCCAGAUUCACUAAUCCUGUCCCCGUCACCACUAGUCCAUCACUGCAGGGCUUGGAAGAUUGGAAAGAUGUUAUUUCCUGUGGUAGAAGCCUGUGCGUGAUUUCUUUUAACGUGGGGAAGCUGGUGUGCCUGCAGCGACCACACAAUCAUGACAAGUUGGAGGUCUGUGGCCCAGUGCCAGGGAAAGUCCGAGAUGACUGGAGGGCUGUGUGUUAACAGUGGAUAGAGCAAACUGUAUUAACCCCAGUCUCUUUGAAGACAGCAAACUUAAUAGCUUCUGUGAAUGCCCAGUGAGAGGGACUGGUCACUGCAGGGAGACAUCUCUAAGGAACUUGGAAACUGCAAGAAACAGAGCCAAUUUCUGGGAGGUCAGUAUGGCACCAAACUUUGUGAUUCAUCCUCAUGGAAAGGACACAACAUUCACGUACAAAUCACCGAGGCAUAAAACUCCUGCUCCCAGCAAAGAUGCAAAUCUGCCGCUUCUCUGGGCAGAACUCACGCUUUCUACAAAGUGGAGCAGCCUUUUCCACCUCCCCAUCAACUUUCAUCCUUCGCAGUAUCCAUUAGAAGUAAAGCCUCUUAGCCAAGAUGAAGCCCUGAUCCACCUUGCUUCUGACUCAACAGCUUCCAGAGAACAGGAAGGCUAAUGCUGGAGUGCUCCAGAUAUCGGAGAGGCAGCCUGGCACAACGUGCAUAAGGGGUCCUACAGAAAGCGAAUCUACUUACAUCUCUCUGCUGCCACCGACAAGGUGGCUCAGCAACCGUAUCCAGUGUUUUAUGCAUAUGAAUGCACAGGCAUGCAUGCACGUAACUGAAAAGUCUGCGUGCGUGCAUGCCUGUGCAAAAUAAACUCUCAUUCACCUUGUGAACAAACCUCAGCACUGAGCAUUUGUUAUGAAGAUUGGUGGCCCACAAUUUAGUGAUGCUUAGCGGUUCAAGGGCUUAGCAGUACAUGAAAAACUGAUUAGCUGCUCCCUCACCUUCUGGCCCAUUCCUCACCAUUGUACAGAUAAAAACAACUUCUUUUUUUUUAAAAGUUGGCACAUCCUUUUAAUAGCUGCCUGUCAUUUAAACAUUUCACCUUUCAAUGCCAUUGUGUGGAGGUGGUGCUUUCCCACUGAAUGCAUGAAAAUUGGAUGAUGCACCCAGUUAGACCCAUCCUCUGCUGUGACAUUACCCAUGGUACAAUCUGGACUCAUGAACAGCUGUGCCAAUUCAGUUCUCCAACCUGGCUUUCCUUUUACACUGCUUUGCUGUGAGAGUUACCACUCCUGGUCUCCUUACACACAGCCUCCAGCAUGUAAGUUACUCCCAGUUAUAGUAUAUGAGUGCUGUAACCAGCCACUCUUAAAUUAUACUGAAGAGCAACACCAGCAAACUCCCAGUCCCAGACUUUCCCCAGAAAUAUCCGUCUUGUACUGCCCAGAUUGCUCCUGGACCAUACAAGCUCAUACAAAGUCAGCCAUUUUAUUAAUAGAAAAUGA
This is a long non-coding RNA of Dermochelys coriacea (leatherback sea turtle), 1623 nucleotides long. RefSeq lists it as uncharacterized. Lineage: Eukaryota; Metazoa; Chordata; Testudines; Dermochelyidae. The transcript has 3 exons. The record is from RefSeq and is a predicted model, not a curated record.